This 833-nucleotide ribosomal RNA is filed under the name fungal sp. BG114. RNAcentral's name for it is "eukaryotic LSU rRNA". It matches the Rfam family "Eukaryotic large subunit ribosomal RNA", at positions 87 to 929 of the family's 3401-position model. The record is from RNAcentral. Lineage: Eukaryota; Fungi.
CUGCGAGUGAAGCGGGAAAAGCUCAAAUUUAAAAUCUGGCGGCUUUGGUCGUCCGAGUUGUAUCCUAGAGAAGUGUUUUCCGCGUUGGACCGUGUAUAAGUCUCUUGGAACAGAGCGUCAUAGAGGGUGAGAAUCCCGUCUUUGACACGGACUACCAAUGCUUUGUGAUACACUCUCAAAGAGUCGAGUUGUUUGGGAAUGCAGCUCAAAAUGGGUGGUAAAUUCCAUCUAAAGCUAAAUAUUGGCGAGAGACCGAUAGCGAACAAGUACCGUGAGGGAAAGAUGAAAAGCACUUUGGAAAGAGAGUUAAACAGUACGUGAAAUUGCUGAAAGGGAAACGAUUGAAGUCAGUCGCGUUAGCUAGAACUCAACCAGGCUUGCUUGGCGUAUUUUCUAGUUAACGGGCCAGCAUCAGUUUUGACCGCAGGAAAAAGGCCAGAGAAAUGUGGCACCCUCGGGUGUGUUAUAGUCUUUGGUCAUAUACUGCGAUUGGGACUGAGGUUCGCAGCACGCGCAAGCUGUGCUUAGGAUGCUGGCGUAAUGGCUUUAAACGACCCGUCUUGAAACACGGACCAAGGAGUCUAACAAACCUGCGAGUAUUUGGGUGGUAAACCCGAGUGCGCAAUGAAAGUAAAAGUUGGGAUCCCUGUCGUGGGGAGCACCGACGCCCGGACCAGACCUUCUGUGACGGAUCUGCGGUAGAGCAUGUUUGUUGGGACCCGAAAGAUGGUGAACUAUGCCUGAAUAGGGUGAAGCCAGAGGAAACUCUGGUGGAGGCUCGUAGCGAUUCUGACGUGCAAAUCGAUCGUCAAAUUUGGGUAUAGGGGCGAAAG